UACGUAGGUGGCAAGCGUUGUCCGGAAUUAUUGGCGUAAAGCGCGCGCAGGCGGUCCUUUAAGUCUGAUGUGAAAGCCCACGGCUCAAACCGUGGAGGGUCAUUGGAAACUGGGGGACUUGAGUACAGAAGAGAAGAGUGGAAUUCCACGUGUAGCGGUGAAAUGCGUAGAGAUGUGGAGGAACACCAGUGGCGAAGGCGACUCUUUGGUCUGUAAACUGACGCUGGAGGCGCGAAAGCGUGGGGAGCAAACAGG
RNAcentral lists this ribosomal RNA (255 nucleotides) under uncultured bacterium. RNAcentral describes it as "partial 16S ribosomal RNA". It matches the Rfam family "Bacterial small subunit ribosomal RNA", at positions 524 to 776 of the family's 1533-position model. The record is from RNAcentral.